RNAcentral lists this long non-coding RNA (222 nucleotides) under Sus scrofa (pig). RNAcentral's name for it is "lncRNA (ENSSSCG00030053746.1, ENSSSCG00050004613.1, ENSSSCG00060028983.1)". The record is from RNAcentral. Lineage: Eukaryota; Metazoa; Chordata; Mammalia; Artiodactyla; Suidae.
UGGUCCGUAAGUGGCAGAGUCUGGACCCGAACACAAGUCUGUCUGCCUUCAAAGUCUGGGUUCAGGCCAACACACCACACAUGUGUCUAAACGAAGACAUCUGGGUUACAACGUCCUAAAAAUCAAAGAAACGAUGAAAACACGGAGGGGAAGAGGCCGUUUCUGCAGUUUCCCAACUGCGCCGGUCCUGGGAGCGGCCUCCCAUAACGAGCAGCAGCCCUG